GAUGAACGCUGGCGGCGUGCCUAAUACAUGCAAGUCGAGCGAACGGACGAGAAGCUUGCUUCUCUGAUGUUAGCGGCGGACGGGUGAGUAACACGUGGAUAACCUACCUAUAAGACUGGGAUAACUUCGGGAAACCGGAGCUAAUACCGGAUAAUAUUUUGAACCGCAUGGUUCAAAAGUGAAAGACGGUCUUGCUGUCACUUAUAGAUGGAUCCGCGCUGCAUUAGCUAGUUGGUAAGGUAACGGCUUACCAAGGCAACGAUGCAUAGCCGACCUGAGAGGGUGAUCGGCCACACUGGAACUGAGACACGGUCCAGACUCCUACGGGAGGCAGCAGUAGGGAAUCUUCCGCAAUGGGCGAAAGCCUGACGGAGCAACGCCGCGUGAGUGAUGAAGGUCUUUGGAUCGUAAAACUCUGUUAUUAGGGAAGAACAUAUGUGUAAGUAACUGUGCACAUCUUGACGGUACCUAAUCAGAAAGCCACGGCUAACUACGUGCCAGCAGCCGCGGUAAUACGUAGGUGGCAAGCGUUAUCCGGAAUUAUUGGGCGUAAAGCGCGCGUAGGCGGUUUUUUAAGUCUGAUGUGAAAGCCCACGGCUCAACCGUGGAGGGUCAUUGGAAACUGGAAAACUUGAGUGCAGAAGAGGAAAGUGGAAUUCCAUGUGUAGCGGUGAAAUGCGCAGAGAUAUGGAGGAACACCAGUGGCGAAGGCGACUUUCUGGUCUGUAACUGACGCUGAUGUGCGAAAGCGUGGGGAUCAAACGGGAUUAGGUACCCUGGUAGUCCACGCCGUAAACGAUGAGUGCUAAGUGUUAGGGGGUUUCCGCCCCUUAGUGCUGUAGCUAACGCAUUAAGCACUCCGCCUGGGGAGUACGACCGCAAGGUUGAAACUCAAAGGAAUUGACGGGGACCCGCACAAGCGGUGGAGCAUGUGGUUUAAUUCGAAGCAACGCGAAGAACCUUACCAAAUCUUGACAUCCUUUGACAACUCUAGAGAUAGAGCUUUCCCCUUCGGGGGACAAAGUGACAGGUGGUGCAUGGUUGUCGUCAGCUCGUGUCGUGAGAUGUUGGGUUAAGUCCCGCAACGAGCGCAACCCUUAAGCUUAGUUGCCAUCAUUAAGUUGGGCACUCUAAGUUGACUGCCGGUGACAAACCGGAGGAAGGUGGGGAUGACGUCAAAUCAUCAUGCCCCUUAUGAUUUGGGCUACACACGUGCUACAAUGGACAAUACAAAGGGCAGCGAAACCGUGAGGUCAAGCAAAUCCCAUAAAGUUGUUCUCAGUUCGGAUUGUAGUCUGCAGCUCGACUACAUGAAGCUGGAAUCGCUAGUAAUCGUAGAUCAGCAUGCUACGGUGAAUACGUUCCCGGGUCU
This 1372-nucleotide ribosomal RNA is filed under the name uncultured bacterium. Its description in RNAcentral is "bacterial SSU rRNA". It matches the Rfam family "Bacterial small subunit ribosomal RNA", at positions 28 to 1381 of the family's 1533-position model. The record is from RNAcentral.